This 492-nucleotide ribosomal RNA is filed under the name uncultured bacterium. RNAcentral describes it as "partial 16S ribosomal RNA". It matches the Rfam family "Bacterial small subunit ribosomal RNA", at positions 29 to 507 of the family's 1533-position model. The record is from RNAcentral.
AGUGAACGCUGGCGGUAGGCCUAACACAUGCAAGUCGAACGGCAGCACAGUAGGAGCUUGCUCUUACGGGUGGCGAGUGGCGGACGGGUGAGGAAUACAUCGGAAUCUACUUUUUCGUGGGGGAUUACGUAGGGAAACUUACGCUAAUACCGCAUACGACCUACGGGUGAAAGCAGGGGAUCUUCGGACCUUGCGCGACUGAAUGAGCCGAUGUCGGAUUAGCUAGUUGGCGGGGUAAAGGCCCACCAAGGCGACGAUCCGUAGCUGGUCUGAGAGGAUGAUCAGCCACACUGGAACUGAGACACGGUCCAGACUCCUACGGGAGGCAGCAGUGGGGAAUAUUGGACAAUGGGCGCAAGCCUGAUGGAGCCAUACCGCGUGGGUGAAGAAGGCCUUCGGGUUGUAAAGCUCUUUUGUUGGGAAAGAAAAGCAGCAGGUUAAUACACCGAUGUUCUGACGGUACCCAAAGAAUAAGCAACGGCUAACUUCGUG